RNAcentral lists this ribosomal RNA (93 nucleotides) under Mediodactylus kotschyi (Kotschy's gecko). RNAcentral's name for it is "partial large subunit ribosomal RNA". The record is from RNAcentral. Lineage: Eukaryota; Metazoa; Chordata; Lepidosauria; Squamata; Gekkonidae.
CCAUCCCCCCAUAGAGUCCACAUCAACGGGGGGGUUUACGACCUCGAUGUUGGAUCAGGACGCCCCGGCGGUGCAGCAGCUGCCAAAGGCCCG